RNAcentral lists this transfer RNA (65 nucleotides) under Hemipeplus sp. HEM01. RNAcentral's name for it is "tRNA-Arg". The record is from RNAcentral. Lineage: Eukaryota; Metazoa; Arthropoda; Insecta; Coleoptera; Mycteridae.
AAAUAAGAAGCAAAACCUUGCAUUUAGUUUCGACCUAAAAAUUUGAUUAUUUUAAUCCUUAUUUU